CCUACGGGUGGCUGCAGUGAGGAAUAUUGGUCAAUGGACGAGAGUCUGAACCAGCCAAGUAGCGUGAAGGAUGACUGCCCUAUGGGUUGUAAACUUCUUUUAUAAAGGAAUAAAACGAGGCACGUGUGCCUUUUUGCAUGUACUUUAUGAAUAAGGAUCGGCUAACUCCGUGCCAGCAGCCGCGGUAAUACUGAGGAUCCGAGCGUUAUCCGGAUUUAUUGGGUGUAAAGGGAGCGUAGAUGGGUUGUUAAGUCAGUUGUGAAAGUUUGCGGCUCAACCGUAGACUUGCAAUUGAUACUGGCGUUCUUGAGUACAGUUGAGGUAGGCGGAAUUCGUGGUGUAGCGGUGAAAUGCUUAGAUAUCACGAAGAACUCCGAUUGCGAAGGCAGCUCACUGGACUGCAACUGACACUGAUGCUCGAAAGUGUGGGUAUCAAACAGGAUUAGAUACCCUAGUAGUC
This 460-nucleotide ribosomal RNA is filed under the name uncultured bacterium. RNAcentral's name for it is "partial 16S ribosomal RNA". It matches the Rfam family "Bacterial small subunit ribosomal RNA", at positions 338 to 795 of the family's 1533-position model. The record is from RNAcentral.